This 655-nucleotide long non-coding RNA is filed under the name Cyanistes caeruleus (blue tit). Its description in RNAcentral is "lncRNA (ENSCCEG00000015860.1)". The record is from RNAcentral. Lineage: Eukaryota; Metazoa; Chordata; Aves; Passeriformes; Paridae.
CUGACAUUGGUUUGCUGUUCUGACUUUGGUUGAAGAGAUGGUAUGCUAUUUCUCCCACACUGUUUCCAGCAGAAAUGUGGUUUACACUGGCAAAAGGGUUAGUUAAACCAAUUCCCAGGGCUUGCAUUAUUUUCCAUAGGAACAAUAUGCCCAAGAAGCAAAGUUUUAAGCACAGACCACAUGUUCCACCAGUUUCAUCACUAAAAUAGGUGAUACUGGAAGACUAUCAGAUUUGAAUGUCUCCAGCAGCUGCAAGCUCCUGAGUCCACCAGUUUUCCAAAUCAGUUCCUAUCUAUUUAAGGUUCUCAAAGACCAAAGAUUUAAUUCAUUCCAGCAUUGUCUUUACCCAGGCCCCCCUUACAUGCCAUCACUGGUAGUCACUACUUGGCUCUAAGUAGUCCAACUGUGGAUACUAAAAGCACUUCUGAGACUCUGACCAUGGUUUGGGAAAAUACAAGGCCAGAGUAAUGCUUCAUGGAAUCAGAGGGGAGCUGGAAUGUGUCUAGAGGUCCUCAGGAAUCAGGGGAACCCCUAAGACUGCCAGAAUGGGAGUCAUCCUAUUCAUUCUCAAGUUGCACAUCAGUGUGUAAACUCUUGAAGAUCCGUGGUAACUAAAAAUACUAAGAAAUACUGGUAAGAAAAUUUUAAAUGAACA